This 253-nucleotide ribosomal RNA is filed under the name uncultured bacterium. RNAcentral describes it as "partial 16S ribosomal RNA". It matches the Rfam family "Bacterial small subunit ribosomal RNA", at positions 524 to 776 of the family's 1533-position model. The record is from RNAcentral.
UACGUAGGGUGCAAGCGUUGUCCGGAAUUAUUGGGCGUAAAGAGCUCGUAGGCGGUCUGUCGCGUCGGCUGUGAAAACCCGGGGCUCAACUUCGGGCUUGCAGGCGAUACGGGCAGACUUGAGUGUUUCAGGGGAGACUGGAAUUCCUGGUGUAGCGGUGAAAUGCGCAGAUAUCAGGAGGAACACCGGUGGCGAAGGCGGGUCUCUGGGAAACAACUGACGCUGAGGAACGAAAGCGUGGGUAGCAAACAGG